Molecule: unclassified non-coding RNA, 2426 nt
Filed under: Hevea brasiliensis (rubber tree)
Lineage: Eukaryota; Viridiplantae; Streptophyta; Magnoliopsida; Malpighiales; Euphorbiaceae
Source: RNAcentral
CGUUUAUUCAAUGGUUGAUAGCGAAUAGAAAGUUGUAGGAUUAACUUGAAACUUUUUUUUUUAAUUUAAUUUGGAUUGAUUCUUUGUUGAAAUUAGACUGGUGCUAUUAUCAAUGUUUCUCAGUUUAAUUGCGAGGUUUAAAAUCGAUUGGUUGUAAUUGAAAGUUUAUAUAAUUGAGCCUCUGUUGCGUGUUUCGUUUUGAAAAUUAAAGAUGGGUUUUCAGAUAAAGACUUAUUUUUGAUGAUUGAUUCUUGUUAUAGACGUAGCAGCAAAUUUCAAUCGGCAUAUGUUGAAAAGAUUUUUGUUUUUUUUCGUAGAAUUAUUUUGUUUAUGGAUUUUUGAAGCUUUAUGUUAUGUGUAGGGACAGUUUUUUGCGGUUGGUAGAGCAUGCUUUUAUCUCUUCUAAAUCCUCCUCUCUUCUUUUUUGUUUUUUUUUUCUCCUGUUCUCUGUCAAUGAAUUCGUAAGGACCCUUAUGUCUAUUUUUGUUAUUUGUAUUUAAUAGGUUUGCCAUGUGGGAUUUUUAUAUAUAAUUAAUUCAUUAUAUUUUAAGUUUGAUUGUGGUAAUUUUACAGGUUUCAUCUGGACAUUGAAAAUUUUGUGUGCAAGAUCAUAAACCAAGUUGGUUGUAGUUGUACUAUCUGUCAUAGGUCGUGUUAAUUAUGCAAUGAAGAUGAUUGUGCAUGGCCAAGAUCCUGAUGUUUCUCGAUGGGGUCUCUAUACCCUAAUAGACGUUUGUGCACUUCCAAGUUCUGGUCCAUGUAACAGUGUUACUCAGUAUGAUAUAGAUGAUUGUCAAGUUGGGUACGUCGUAGAAGGUUAUAAUGAAGCAGGACACACAAAUAAUGUAGAGAAUGAUGCGGUUAUAGCACAUGCUCUUCAAGAGGAACUUUCUCAAAUUGCUGCUGCAGAAGCAUCUGGGCUUCACAAACCUGGACAAGAAUCUAUUCUUGAACAGGCCUGGCUUGCCUCUCCAGGAAAAUGCAAUGGUUAUGAGGACCAGAAUGAUCAUCAUAGAAAAAACAAGAUGGAUGAUGCUGAAUGCAGCAAAAAGGAGGCACAUGAUUUUACCAAGUGUGAAAGUGAAGAAUGUGAUGAUAUCCUGAAUUCUUUUUCAUAUCCUAAUGCUGGAGAAGAAUCCAUUCGGAUGGAAGAGGGAUCACAUUCCCUAGAAAUAGCAGAUGAGUCUACUCUUGAUGGUGAAGUGGGUAUGAGACUAAAUCAGAUGGUUCCUGUGCCUCACGUCCCUAAAAUUAAUGGAGAAAUACCAUCGGAAGAUGAAGAGAUUUCAGAUCAUCAAAGGCUGUUAGACAGGUUGAAGGUAUAUAAUUUGGUUGAAAAUAAGGUCCAAGGAGAUGGAAACUGUCAGUUUCGUGCCUUAUCAGAUCAACUCUAUCGUUCAUCUGAGCAACACAAAGUUGUAAGGGAUUGUGUUCUUUCUCAGCUGAAGUCUUACCCCCAGAUGUAUGAAGGUUAUGUUCCUAUGGCUUAUGGAGACUAUCUGGAGAAAAUGAGCAAGACUGGUGAAUGGGGUGAUCAUGUCACAUUGCAAGCCGCUGCAGAUUCGUAUGGUGUCAAGAUAUUUGUAGUAACUUCAUUUAAGGAUACAUGUUAUAUUGAGAUCGUUCCAUUCAUUAAGAAGUCCGAGCGAGGUAAGAUUUUGAAAGCCUUUUGUUUUCUGUUUUGAAACCUUGCGAGACAUUUGGAUUAAUCUAAUGAAACAACAAAGAAGAGCAGUUUUCUUAUAUCAUCUGUGGUAUUGUAUGGAAAUUUCAGAUUUUAAAUUUUAUCAUAUAUAGAAUAAGUGAUCUUUUGUUACUUUUUAGUGGGUUGCCAAUAAAGGCAUAUAGUAUGUCCAGAAAUGUACUAAUAUGAGCAUCCAAUUUUAAUCAAUGUCAAGUGAAGUCAUUCUAUCUUAUGAUUUGAACUGCAGAGUUCUGAGGUUUUCUCAAGAAAGAUUUUCCAUUUCAGCAGUUUUUUUUUUAAUUAUUAUUAUCAUUAUUAGAAGUAUUAUCAUAUUUGGUUGUGCUGGUUUUCGAGCUUCCCUUUAUUCUCCUAGACUUUAUGUUGUGCUCAACUGUUUAAGAUGCUGACUUUCAUAUUUACACUUUUGUUCUGGGCAGUUAUUUUCUUGAGCUUUUGGGCAGAGGUGCACUACAAUUCAAUAUAUCCAGGACGAGAGCUACCUCUUUAUGAAACUAAUAAAAAGAAGAAAUGGUGGACACUUGGAAGCUAAAAAUUUGGUGGCAAAUCUCAAGAUUGUAGAUUGUGGCAGUUCUUUAAUGAUGAAGGAGCUUUUCUUUGGUGGAACUUAUUCCAUUCCUUGUGCAAUUUGGUGAACUAGGGAAGAAUGAAUAGGGCUGAUGACAUUUGAGUGCUGUGUGUAUCCAAUUUAACACCCCUUAUCCUAUUGAUUGUCUGAGUUUCU